This 433-nucleotide ribosomal RNA is filed under the name uncultured bacterium. Its description in RNAcentral is "partial 16S ribosomal RNA". It matches the Rfam family "Bacterial small subunit ribosomal RNA", at positions 29 to 507 of the family's 1533-position model. The record is from RNAcentral.
AACGAACGCUGGCGGCAUGCCUAACACAUGCAAGUCGAACGAGACCUUCGGGUCUAGUGGCGCACGGGUGCGUAACGCGUGGGAACCUGCCCUUAGGUUCGGAAUAACUCCCCGAAAGGGGUGCUAAUACCGGAUAAUGUCUUCGGACCAAAGAUUUAUCGCCUUUGGAUGGGCCCGCGUUGGAUUAGCUAGUUGGUAGGGUAAAAGCCUACCAAGGCGACGAUCCAUAGCUGGUCUGAGAGGAUGAUCAGCCACACUGGGACUGAGACACGGCCCAGAAUCCUACGGGAGGCAGCAGUGGGGAAUAUUGGACAGUGGGCGAAAGCCUGAUCCAGCAAUGCCGCGUGAGUGAUGAAGGCCUUAGGGUUGUAAAGCUCUUUUACCCGGGAUGAUAAUGACAGUACCGGGAGAAUAAGCACCGGCUAACUCCGUG